UCUAAGAGAUCCAUCUUUCAUUCAACCUGGUUGCGGACGUAUAAGUAAGACACUUCCGAACCUCCAAUUUUUUUUUUCACAAGCUCUAAAAGAUGUAUCUUUCAUCCAACUUGUCUGGAAAUUUCCACAAGCUCACACUUAUUUUAAAAGAAGAGAAAUAUAAAUAUAAGUAGAACAAACAUGGAGAAAAUGCUUUCAUAAUAAUCAUUUAAUACCUAUGUAGGAACCGAAUCCUAGUAGCUACCCAAUAUAAUUAUAUUACCACCUGAGAGCAUACCUUUACAAAGCACAAUUAAUUGAGAACACGAGAUCCUUCAGCUCUAAGAAAAGUUUAACGACAACAAAUUCUGAAUGAUAAGUGGAAGUCCUAAGUAAGUUACUUAUUUCCAAAAAAAUAGUAAAAGACCAAAAUUAGUUUUUUGAUAAUAGGCGUAAUACAAAAUGCUUCUAUAAUAACCAUUAAAGCAGACGAAGCACUUAGCAGAAUAGACAAAGAUAUAGUAAGUCCAAAAGAGGAAGAAGACAUAGUAGAAAAGGUUGCAGGAACUUUUAAAGGAACAUAAGAACAACUUCAUCCAUAAACAAAACUCGGUUUUCCAUGUGCACCAGAACCGCGGGAUGAUAUUUCAAUUAGAGUAGGUUCCAAUUCUUUACUUGAAAAAGUGGUGAGGUUCAGUAAACUUAAAUUCAUGAUUUCCUCACAAUCUCUGUACAAAUAAAUGAAGGCGAGAUUACAAUAAUAACUAUGUGUUAUUCCUAAAUAAGUUAUAAUUGAGCAAAAAAUAUACCUUGUGUGAGGAGAAAUCUUCCUAGUGUUAAUUGUAGAAGUAGAGGAAAUGGUCGAAAAGUGCUAGCUACUCGAUACUCGGUAGAAAGAUAAACAUAAUAUAAUGGCACUUUCAGCUAACGACAUAUCACAAUAUAUUUUACAUCGUUUGGUAUUCUUUUCAUAAGCCUGUUUCAUUAUGCGGGAUGUUCUUGUUUGUUCAGGAUUCAUUGCUACAGAAAGUUGGUAUAUAAAAGCGUUAGAACUCCAAUCAGUUCAACAGCUCAAUGUUGCAACAAUCUGGAAGAGUCACCGAGACAAUCACUUGUUACAAUAUUUGUAAAUUGCACAAUCA
RNAcentral lists this long non-coding RNA (1121 nucleotides) under Solanum tuberosum (potato). RNAcentral's name for it is "long non-coding RNA (STUB_LNC001951)". Lineage: Eukaryota; Viridiplantae; Streptophyta; Magnoliopsida; Solanales; Solanaceae. The record is from RNAcentral.